Molecule: ribosomal RNA, 501 nt
Filed under: uncultured bacterium
Lineage: Bacteria
Description: bacterial SSU rRNA
Rfam family: Bacterial small subunit ribosomal RNA
Source: RNAcentral
AUUGAACGCUGGCGGCGUGCCUAACACAUGCAAGUCGAGCGGUAACAGGUGUAGCAAUACAUGCUGACGAGCGGCGGACGGGUGAGUAACGCUUGGGAAUCUGCCUAUUAGUGGGGGACAACCCGGGGAAACUCGGGCUAAUACCGCAUACGCUCUACGGAGGAAAGCCGGGGACCGCAAGGCCUGGCGCUAAUAGAUGAGCCCAAGUCGGAUUAGCUAGUUGGUAGGGUAAUGGCCUACCAAGGCGACGAUCCGUAACUGGUCUGAGAGGACGACCAGUCACACCGGAACUGAGACACGGUCCGGACUCCUACGGGAGGCAGCAGUGGGGAAUAUUGGACAAUGGGCGAAAGCCUGAUCCAGCGACGCCGCGUGGGUGAAGAAGGCCUGCGGUUGUAAAGCCCUUUCAGUGGGGAAGAAAAGCCUCGACCUAACACGUCGGGGUCUUGACGUAACCCAUAGAGAAGCACCGGCUAACUCUGUGCCAGCCGCCGCCGUAAC